Molecule: unclassified non-coding RNA, 336 nt
Filed under: soil metagenome
Description: partial contains 5.8S ribosomal RNA, internal transcribed spacer 2, and large subunit ribosomal RNA
Rfam family: 5.8S ribosomal RNA (bases 1-120)
Source: RNAcentral
GAUGAAGAACGCAGCGAAAUGCGAUAAGUAGUGUGAAUUGCAGAAUUCAGUGAAUCAUCGAAUCUUUGAACGCACAUUGCGCCCCUUGGUAUUCCAUGGGGCAUGCCUGUUCGAGCGUCAUUUGUACCUUCAAGCUCUGCUUGGUGUUGGGUGUUUGUCUCGCCUCUGCGUGUAGACUCGCCUCAAAACAAUUGGCAGCCGGCGUAUUGAUUUCGGAGCGCAGUACAUCUCGCGCUUUGCACUCAUAACGACGACGUCCAAAAGUACAUUUUUACACUCUUGACCUCGGAUCAGGUAGGGAUACCCGCUGAACUUAAGCAUAUCAAUAAGCGGAGG